CUGACGGAGCCGAAGUACAGAAACCAUACUUACAGGUACAUGUGACAGCACUGCAGCUAUGAGUGGAAUUUUAAAGGGGAAGUUGGAAGAAAUUGACGGCUCCUCACCCUGCUCCUCUGUGUGGGAAUCCGAUGAUGAAGUUUUUAGCUGUGACGGUGCUGACAGUGUCGAUAGUGUCACUUCAUCCACUUCUAAUCAUUUUACCCGAAAAACUAAGGAGAUAUCAACAGACUGAAAACAUGUUUUCUGAGGCAUAAGGUCUUCAGGAAGACACUGGCAUUUGUGAAAUUUCAAGGUUAGCAGUUCUUAAUUAUUUUCAAACCUUUACAACACUGAAAUAUAACUGUGUAACUGUUCCAAGUUGUUACUGCUAAUAUGUACCUGAAGUAUGCUUAUUUAUAAUAAAUUAUCCUUAUGUUUUAAAAAAAUUUAUUCAAACCAGAA
RNAcentral lists this long non-coding RNA (444 nucleotides) under Dasypus novemcinctus (nine-banded armadillo). RNAcentral's name for it is "lncRNA (ENSDNOG00000052662.1)". Lineage: Eukaryota; Metazoa; Chordata; Mammalia; Cingulata; Dasypodidae. The record is from RNAcentral.